This 332-nucleotide transfer-messenger RNA is filed under the name Clostridium cylindrosporum DSM 605. It matches the Rfam family "transfer-messenger RNA". Rfam says of the family: Bacterial tmRNA, also known as 10Sa RNA or SsrA, is named for its dual tRNA and mRNA-like properties. Its role is to liberate the mRNA from a stalled ribosome. To accomplish this part of the tmRNA is used as a reading frame that ends in a translation stop signal. Lineage: Bacteria; Bacillati; Bacillota; Clostridia; Eubacteriales; Clostridiaceae. The record is from Rfam by way of RNAcentral.
AAGGCAUUCGACGGGGGUAGUAGGAGCUUAGGAAGCGAGUCGAGGACCUGUACCUCGUUAAAAACUGGGAACUUAAAUAUAAACGCAAAAAACGAAAAUUACGCAUUAGCUGCCUAGUUGCAGCUCAUCCUGCCUAGGCUUCCCACAGCUUAGGACCAGGGUGUCAAAUAAGUGGGGAAACGCGCCUGUCAAAGCUUUGAGAUAGGAACGGAAUUUAUGAAGCUACCGAAAUCUAUAGCCUGUUCUUGGGCGAUAGAUAGGGGGAAUCUCAAAACAAGAACUGCACUCGGAGAUGCUUAAGUUUUUAUGCUUUCGGACAGGGGUUCGAUUUG